GGAGGCAGAGUCUUGAAAGCGUACAGACAUGCUGGUUGGAUAACAGUUCGUGUGGUGAAAGGGAAGACUUGUCCCGGGAGCCGCGUAUGCAUUGAGGCACUGCUAACCAUCCUACCUCGCAGAGACCUGCACCCUCGCCUGGUGUCGAAUCCCUCAAUGUCUUUGUGGCAUCCUGCUACACUUACUCCUGUCGUCCUGUAGAGAUGGCCAUCGAUGACCGACUAGACUACACAACUCAAGGUGUUUACUUUGGAUGCCCUCCCAGGCACUCCUCCCAGGGCUUAAUGACUGGAUUUACUGCAUCAAUUAGCCAUCAGGGUCUCUGAGAGGCCUGGCUGGCUGAUCGAUUGUUCUGUAGCAGCUGAUGUCCCCUCGCCGUGCUGUUCUGCACUGCUCUGGACCAUGCUAACUGCAUGUCUGAAUGUAAACCUAGUACAAUGUAAUUAAAUUAAAUAAAACAUUUUCUACUCAAGGUUA
Molecule: long non-coding RNA, 477 nt
Organism: Salmo salar (Atlantic salmon)
Lineage: Eukaryota; Metazoa; Chordata; Actinopteri; Salmoniformes; Salmonidae
Source: RefSeq, a predicted model, not a curated record